Long non-coding RNA from Hemicordylus capensis (graceful crag lizard), 542 nucleotides. RefSeq lists it as uncharacterized. Lineage: Eukaryota; Metazoa; Chordata; Lepidosauria; Squamata; Cordylidae. The transcript is spliced from 3 exons. The record is from RefSeq and is a predicted model, not a curated record.
CACAGCAGGGGAAUGCUUGAUUAACAAGCAGAAGGUUGCCGGUUCGAAUCCCUGCGGGUACUAUAUCGGGCAGCAGCAAGAAAGGAAGAUGCUGGAAGGCAACAUCUCACCCUGCGCGGGAGGAGAUAAUGACUUCUUUGCUCCAAAGAAAAGACUGCCCUGAGCUGAGCGAAAGGGCAGCAGCAACGACAACAAUACCUUAGGAAUUUUGAGGAAACAACAGACUACAGACACAGUCCAAAUCAGUCCAAACUGGAGGCGGACGUACACCUAGGUGUCCCCCACCCCAAGUUGUGGGGGAUGGGAUGGAACACACCUGAGCAAUGAAGAACGCAGCCAGGGACAUCAAAGAGCUGGAUCUCAUCGCCCCGGCCCUUAGACUCUUGCCAAGGCUCAAGUGAAGAAGACAUAUAGUCCAACAAACACAGCAACCUUGUCAUGACAGGCAUGUAGGGAUGAGCCAAUUGAAACAAGCUCCCUUCGUAUCUGUUCUGACCCCCACCCCCACCCACCGUUCCUGCAACUUGGCCACUGGCAGUGCC